AAUAGAUACCCCGGUAGUCCACGCCGUAAACGAUGCAUAUUAUUCGUAUGGGGUAUCGACCCCCUGUGCGGAGAAGCUAACGCGAUAAAUAUGCCGCCUGGGAAGUACGGCCGCAAGGCUAAAACUCAAAGGAAUUGACGGGGCUCCGCACAAGCAGUGGAUCAUGUGGUUUAAUCCGAUGCUACGCGCAGAACCUUACCAAGGCUUGACAUCCCGAUCGUCGGCCUAAGAAAUUAGGCUCUCAGUUCGGCUGGAUCGGUGACAGAUGCUGCAUGGCCGUCGUCAGCUCGUGUCGUGAGAUGUUGGGUUAAGUCCCGCAACGAGCGCAACCCUUGUCGUGUGUUGUAUUUUUCACGCGAGACCGCCCGGGCCAACCGGGAGGAAGGUGGGGAUGACGUCAGGUCUGCAUGGCUCUUACGCCUUGGGCCACACACGUGAUACAAUGGCCGGUACAACGGGUCGCGAAAGCGCGAGCUGAAGCUAAUCCCAUCAAAACCGGUCCCAGUUCGGAUUGCAGG
Molecule: ribosomal RNA, 518 nt
Filed under: uncultured bacterium
Lineage: Bacteria
Description: bacterial SSU rRNA
Rfam family: Bacterial small subunit ribosomal RNA
Source: RNAcentral